UACGGAGGGGGCAAGCGGUGUUCGGACUUACAGGGCGUAAAGCGCGCGUCGGCGGCUGGGUAAGUCAGAUGUGAAAGCCCUCGGCUCAACCGGGGAACUGCGUCUGAUACUGCCUGGCUUGAGUCCGGUAGGGGGUAGCGGAAUUCCCGGUGUAGCGGUGGAAUGCGUAGAUAUCGGGAGGAAUACCGACGGCGAAGGCGGCUACCUGGGCCGGUACUGACGCUGAGGCGCGAAAGCGAGGGGAGCAAAUAGG
RNAcentral lists this ribosomal RNA (253 nucleotides) under uncultured bacterium. Its description in RNAcentral is "partial 16S ribosomal RNA". It matches the Rfam family "Bacterial small subunit ribosomal RNA", at positions 524 to 776 of the family's 1533-position model. The record is from RNAcentral.